GGCAAAUUUGGCAUGUGAUACCUUUUCGGAAAGCCCACAGAGAUCUCUCCGAUGAAUGAGGAAGGAAAUGGGAUUCUUCUAUUGUGUUGUUUGUCUUCUCCAACUUUUGACCUUAAUGUAUUUUUUGGGCCUUUUCGUGAUCUUUGCUGUAUUACGGGGCGAAUAUUAUAUGUUCGGCCAUUGUUUUCGAAUAUUUUGCAUGUAUCAAAGCUCUUAGAAACAAGAUAGGGUAUUCCUACAUAGCUGGUGGGUCCCACGACAAAUCGAACAUAAAGUCUUCUAAAAAGAAUAUAUACGAUUGCAUUGCAUGUAGUAACGGAUGCGAUCAUACCAGCACUAAUGCACCAGAUCCCAUCAAAACUCCGCUGUUAAGCGUGCUUGGGCGAGAGUAGUACUAAGAUGGGUGACCUCCAGGAAAGUCUUCGUGUUGCAUCCCUCUUUUUUUUUGGUUUUUCUCUUUUUU
RNAcentral lists this ribosomal RNA (463 nucleotides) under Arabidopsis thaliana (thale cress). The record is from RNAcentral. Lineage: Eukaryota; Viridiplantae; Streptophyta; Magnoliopsida; Brassicales; Brassicaceae.